Molecule: long non-coding RNA, 468 nt
Filed under: Brachypodium distachyon (stiff brome)
Lineage: Eukaryota; Viridiplantae; Streptophyta; Magnoliopsida; Poales; Poaceae
Description: long non-coding RNA (BDIS_LNC002976)
Source: RNAcentral
AGGACGUGGCCGGGGGGCUCACCGGUCGGAAGGAAGAAAAGCAGAGGUAGAAGAGAGAGCUGUGAGACAAAGCGCAUUCCGGGAUUUUACGCUUUCGUUGCGGGGAGACGGGAAGCGGGCGCGCGCAGAAGAAUGCUGGGCGGCUGGGCCGACUGGGCUGCGGGGCUGCGCGGGGGAAGGGGGCCGUGAUGCCGAUGCGGCUGGCUGGCUUGCUCGCCCGCGCGGGAGGAAGGCGGGCCGAGGCGGCUGGGCCGGCUCGGCCCAAGUGAGCAGGUAAGGUUUUUGUUUUUGUUUUUCCCUUUUCUAUUUUCUGUUUUUGCAAAUGUUUUUGGAUUCAAAUUUCAAAUACCAUUUUGAAAAGCUGAGAAGUAGUAGAAUUCAAAUAUGGUACUAGUAUUUGGAAAUAUUCAAAUGGGGUUUAAGGUUUAAGACAAAACCCAUUUGAAUCUCAUUUGAAAAAUAGAGGGA